This 219-nucleotide long non-coding RNA is filed under the name Panax ginseng (ginseng). RNAcentral describes it as "long non-coding RNA (PGIN_LNC011682)". Lineage: Eukaryota; Viridiplantae; Streptophyta; Magnoliopsida; Apiales; Araliaceae. The record is from RNAcentral.
GCGAGUACCGCCUCAUACUCAGCUUCGUUGUUCGUCGCUUUAAACUGAAAUCUGAUGGCCUGUUGCACCUUGAAUCCCUCCGGACUCGUCAGAAUAAUCCCCGCUCCACUGAUGUCUGUAGUAGAAGACCCAUCUGCAUACAGCGUCCAUGAACUCCCCUUCUGUUGAAGAACCGCAACAGCUCUGUCAGAUCCUUCAACCUCGGUCACAACUUCAUCA